UUAAUUUCAGAAAACAGCCAGUAAGGGAUGCUUUCUUAAGAACCUAUAAUGAAAACAUAGAGAUAUAAUUGAUGCAACUUUAUUUUACAGAAACACCUUUCAAGUAAAGUUUAAAACCGCUUUUUGCUUUUUACUAACCACUGUAAGUCACUUACGGCUAGACCUUGUCAGAUUCUGACUAGAGCCUUUCUAGCUUUGUCACCUAUAAAACUCCUCAAAGAAUGAGGAAGGUUGUAGUUGUAUCAUUUAGUUGGUGUUUGAACUGCAUGUUGAUGUAUGCAACAGUCCAACUGUCAUGAUUAGUUUUCAUGUGAGUGACGUGGCAGCCAUAGCAAGUUAAAUGUGCCUAUGUUUCCUUGAACCAGAUUAUAUGAAUAUAAAAAAAUUUGUUUCCACUCCACUCUUAGGUUCUUGUUUGCAGAAGUAGGCCACAAUGGCAGCGAAUCAGAUGGGGGUAAUUUUGGCCGGAGCCCAUUCUUCAAGAGAGUUGACCAACGCCUGCAAGGGAUUCCUGAAGACUCUCUUUUGGCAGACAUUGGCAGCACGCCCCACUUCUUUGUAGGAGACGAAGCGUUUCCUCUGAAAACCUACCUCAUGAGGCCGUAUGCAAGGAAGAGUCUACCCCCUUUGUUUGGAAACUGUGUUGACGGGCAACCUCAGCAACCAGAUGUUCAGGGAGCACCAAGUCAAUUUUCACAGCUACAAGAAAAAAGAAUUUUCAACUAUAGACUGAGCAGGGCUCGACGAGUUGUCGAAAAUGCCUUUGGGAUUCUGGCUCAAAGUUUACUGCCCACCAGGAACUACUGAUUAUGAAGAUUGGCAGAGACGUCAAACCGAUGGAACAUGGAGGCAAGAAGCGGAUGAGAAUGGCGGACUGACUCCUGUGCCUGCCACAGGUUAUCACCCAACGAGGCUUGCCUACACUACACGAGACAGGCUUUGCAAACACUUCAUCGGAAGCGGCAAGGUCCCCUGGCAAGAGGAGAUGAUCAGGAGCAGCAGAGUAUAGUAAUGGUAACUUUUUUUUACGUACAGCCACUUUAAACACAUUUUAUAUUGCAUUGCCUGCUUGCAGUAAUGACAGCACCCUCGUACACUUUGCUGUCUUCUAAAAAUUAUUCUUGAGACAUAUGUAUGUUGCAGGUACGGAUGCAGACAAUAGCAAAUGGAGCACGCUUCUGCCUUCUAAUAUUUUUCACGUGUUCAGUAAUUGAAAGUGGCAU
This 1223-nucleotide unclassified non-coding RNA is filed under the name Dermacentor andersoni. Its description in RNAcentral is "uncharacterized LOC126540291". The record is from RNAcentral. Lineage: Eukaryota; Metazoa; Arthropoda; Arachnida; Ixodida; Ixodidae.